GUUUCAACAAUACUUUAAAAACCCUAGGCAUUCAAUUCUCACUUUGAUCAGAUGGAGCAGGUUGAUCAAAUCAAAUCCAGAUGUGUUAUAUCCCUCAUUUUCGCAUAUUCAGAAAAUUUGAAAUAAUUGUGACUCGUAAGAAAUGAGGCCAUAAGUUGAUUUUUUUUUAAUAUAUUUGUGUUGACCAUGAAAUGUUGAUGUGGAAAUAUCGAGGAAGACUAAGGGCAAAAUGGGAAAUUUAAAAAAAAAUAGUUUCGGGAAUUACAAAAUAGAACCCAUAAUUAAUUGGGCUUGGAAAAAUGGAAAAAAAAAAAAGAAAAAGAAAGGGAGGCCCAAUUCAAGGUGUGGCCGGCCAAAUACAUGGCCCAAGUCCACAAAUAAUGAAACCUAUGUAUUAUAAGGCAAAGAGGGGCCAUUUUCUUCAUUAUACUAGAAGCUUCAACAAAACAAAAGGGGAGAAAAACCAACAAAGGCCCUCUCGGCCAAGCUAGAGAAAAAGAAAAAAAAAUUGCCCACAAAUAUUUGAUGCAAAAACUAAAUUCCUCUUGAAUUACUAUUAAGUUGGAAACCCUCUUCAAGGUGAUACAAAUUUGGAAGCAAAAGAGUACUUUUUUUACAAAGAGGAGAAAUUUGGAAAAAGAUAUUGGAGAGCUCGAGAUUUGAGACGGGAUUUGUUGGCGAGUGAUCGAAAUUUGGUAGUAAGCGAUCGAGGUACGGACGAUCGUUUUGGUGAUCCUCCAGUAUAGGACACAUAUUCUGCCACUCGGAUUACUUCUUUUGAUCUGGAGCUCAUACUUUUGGUACAUACCUUCUGUUAUAUACAUUCUAUAUAUAUGACUAUUUCGGUACGGCGGGGCCCUGUCCCGUCAUAUGUUCUGUCAUGUUUUGUAGAGGCCUGUAGUCAUAUUUGUGGGUCAUGGGUCAUGUUUGUUUGUUUGUGAUUAUGAUCUGCGUCUUAAUGCGGCCCCGUUUACUAUUAUGGCCAAAACGGCCCAUUUGUCUGUAUAUGCGUAUAUAUCUGGCGGUGUGUAUUCAGCCAAUCUAUUGGAUUUGGAUACGAUGUUUCUGUACGGGCGACCGCUUAAGAUGAUAUUUAUUUUCAGUAUUUGCUAAAAAUGACGUAUGUUCCGUUUGAAUGAAAUUUGAUGUGUCGAUCUGGUACGUAAGCCUGUUUGGGUGUCCAAAUAGGGCGCCAGUUGCGGCCUACGGGUUUGGGUCGUGACAAGAUAUAUGCGGAUCAAACGUGGAGCUUUUUCUUACGCAGCUGGUCGAGAUAGGGUGCCCAUGAAAGUCAAGCUCUCCGGCCAUGACUUAGAAGAUCACUCCACUCCAUGCUCAGCCACACAAAAGUGUUUACUUGCUUAUUUGCUUUUCUUUAAUUUUCCCGCGACAGGUCGGGCACACACCGGCACACACACAAAGGCAUUCCCGAAUAAGGGAUAUCGUUUUCCUCCUAUCGAGUCGAACUACAAGUGACUUGAUUCCCAAGAACAGGGAUAUGUAGGCGGACUCAAUACAAGAGAGUCAGUCAUACUCCAACGAAUCACUCUGUCAUACUCCAACGAAUCACUCUGGACUUCCUGAUUUUGAUAAUCGGGAAAACCAAAAUUUGCUUAAAUUUGCUUUUAAAAGUCUAAAAUGAGUCGAACUACAAGUGGCCUGAAUUCUCAUGUAGCCUGAGAUUUGCAGGAAACCCAGAAACCAUGGUCCGGCCACAUAUUUGAAAAUUGCAUAAAAAUGAGAGGUAAUAUGAUUUGGGUCAGUCAAAAAUCAGGGUUAGUCAAAUUUCGUUGCUCAUAGGUGGCCUUGCCAUCCCCGAACACCUAAAAGGCAGUUGUAGACACCUAAUUUUUAACCUCCUAUAAUUUAUUUUAAUAGCCCAGGGUCCUUGGAUGUCAAAUGGAGUGAAAUAUGUAUUUUCUUUUUCUUUCUUCUUUUUGCAAAUCAAAAUAAUUUUAUAAAAUUAUCUAGAUAAUAUUUUGCCAUUUCAUUUGGCAAAAUAAUUUCUAUAAUACUAUAAAUCAUUUAGAGAUUAAUUUACAUGUUUUUUGCAAUAAUUAAGAGACAUUUUCUAAAUUUAAUCAAGAAGAUAAUUUAAAAAAAUUAUUCAUUUAAUUGCUAAAAUUAUCAAAAAAUUUAUUAGCAAGAAUUUUACUCCGUUAAAUUCAAGAAAAACGAUUAGUUAAAUGAAGUAAUCAUUUUACCCCUCGAUUCUUAAUUUUGCACAUCCAAUUUGCAUUUGUGCAAUUAUCCUCGGAGUUAAUCAUAAUUAAUCAAGUGUUCAAUUAUGGUUAAUUUCAUAAAUUGUUUACUAUA
Lycium barbarum (goji berry) is the source of this 2316-nucleotide long non-coding RNA. RefSeq lists it as uncharacterized. The record is from RefSeq and is a predicted model, not a curated record. The transcript is spliced from 3 exons. Lineage: Eukaryota; Viridiplantae; Streptophyta; Magnoliopsida; Solanales; Solanaceae.